RNAcentral lists this ribosomal RNA (574 nucleotides) under uncultured bacterium. RNAcentral describes it as "bacterial SSU rRNA". It matches the Rfam family "Bacterial small subunit ribosomal RNA", at positions 962 to 1532 of the family's 1533-position model. The record is from RNAcentral.
CGGAAGACCUUACCAGGUCUGGACAAUCCCGUNGACCACUGUAGAGAUAUGGUUUUCCCUUCGGGGACAACGGUGACAAGGUGGUGCAUGGUUGUCGUCAAGCUCGUGUCGUGAGAUGUUGGGUUAAGUCCCGCAACGAGCGCAACCCUUGAUCUUAGUUGCCAUCAUUUAGUUGGGCACUCUAAGGUGACUGCCGGUGACAAACCGGAGGAAGGUGGGGAUGACGUCAAAUCAUCAUGCCCCUUAUGACCUGGGCUACACACGUGCUACAAUGGACGAUACAAACGGUUGCCAACUCGCGAGAGGGAGCUAAUCCGAUAAAGUCGUUCUCAGUUCGGAUUGUAGGCUGCAACUCGCCUACAUGAAGCCGGAAUCGCUAGUAAUCGCGGAUCAGCAUGCCGCGGUGAAUACGUUCCCGGGCCUUGUGCACACCGCCCGUCUACACCACGAGAGUUUGUAACACCCGAAGUCGGUGGGGUAACCUUUUGGAGCCAGCCGCCGAAGGUGGGAUAGAUGAUUGGGGUGAAGUCGUAACAAGUAGCUACAUCGGAGGGUGCGGCUGGAUCACCUCCUU